This 570-nucleotide ribosomal RNA is filed under the name Collaria arcyrionema. RNAcentral's name for it is "Lamproderma arcyrionema partial small subunit ribosomal RNA". It matches the Rfam family "Eukaryotic small subunit ribosomal RNA", at positions 48 to 368 of the family's 1831-position model. The record is from RNAcentral. Lineage: Eukaryota; Evosea; Eumycetozoa; Stemonitida; Stemonitidae.
GUGCCUCAUCGCCAUGCAUGCCUCGAUAAGAUGCAGCUAUUCUCUGAAUCUGCGUACGGCUCCGAAAACCAGUUGUAAAUUGUUGCGAGCCCUGUCCGUCUUGUCUUCGGUUUUGGGUACAGGUUUCGGGCUCACGGGUCGCGCAUUCCUGUUUCCCUCUUCAGGCUGUACGUAGGCGGGCGAUAUGGAUAACCCCGGUAAUUCUGGGGCUAAUACAUGACUUGUGAAUCGCCAACAGCGCUCAGUCCCCAUUUGUUCUUUUUGCUCAGAGGCGACUAGUGACACAGGAAGCCUGAAGGCGGCGUGGGUACUCAUUUGGCCCCCAGAUGAUAGGAGUAAGGGUACUAUUUCCUCGGACCACAGCCCGAGUUUACUCGGGAAGAGCUGUCGCCCCGGCGGUUCUCUUUUUCUCCCCUGCCAGCCCAGCUCAGGGACCCCCCCUAGGUAAGGCUCAGGUGGAGAAUUCCCCCGCUGGCGAAUCGUCGGCUUUGUGGCUCUCGCGGGGUGCUUCUGACCUAUCAACUAGAUGGUAGCAUACGGGACAUGCAAUGGUUACAACGGGUACAGAGU